AGUGUAAUGAAACUGGGCUAGGGAAAGGUCCCCAUCUUUUCCAAGGAAUAAUUGUGCUUUUCCUGUCCUCUGUUGGUGCCCCCAUGUUUGCAUCAGGUGCGCACCUGACCUGGAGUCCGGGAUCUACUCGAAGCUCCAGGAAGAGCUGACUGGGGGUCUGCAGGGAGGGACCCUGGAACAAGAGUCAGGACCUCUCUCUGGGUCCCAGUGCCUGAGCCACCUCAGGGUUGGGUCCUCAAUCCGAUGACUGAUAUCUUUAUGAGAGAGAGGAAAGGGAGGUUUCACACACCUGAGGAAGAAGGUACUGUGAAGAAUGAGGCAAACAAUAAUGUCAUCCUGCCACAAACCAAGGAGCUCCAGAAGCCACCAGACACUAGAAGAGUCAAGAAUGAAUUCUCCCCUAGAGCCUCGAGAGAGAGCACAACCAUGCUCAACACGUUGGCUUCGGACUUCAGGCCUUCAGAGCCCUGAGACAAGACACUUUUGAGGUUCUAAACCGCAGAAUUUGUGGAGAUUUAUCAUAGAGCCCUAGGGAGGCAGCAGAUGGCUGAAAUCCUGGUGUGACGUGGCUGGAUCUUGCAUUACCUGAGGACCCCUGCACCGGUGACUGGGACAGGUCCAGAAUUUUCCUAUAAAUAUAUUAAGAUGCGGAUCAGUGCUGAGCAGCAGUUAGGCCAAGGCCACUCCUCGCUGCCCUGGCGCCGUCUCUCACCGAGC
Non-coding RNA from Equus caballus (horse), 717 nucleotides. The record is from RefSeq and is a predicted model, not a curated record. Lineage: Eukaryota; Metazoa; Chordata; Mammalia; Perissodactyla; Equidae.